Molecule: ribosomal RNA, 2394 nt
Filed under: Triticum aestivum (bread wheat)
Lineage: Eukaryota; Viridiplantae; Streptophyta; Magnoliopsida; Poales; Poaceae
Description: partial small subunit ribosomal RNA
Source: RNAcentral
AUGUACGCCGACAUCCAGAAGGGCCGGCCCGGCUGCCGCCCCAUCGACGCCGCCCGCACGGCGGACCUCACGGCGGUCUGGCCGAGGUACUUCCCCGAGGAAACCGAGCACCCGGUCUGGGCGGACGACCCCAGGGCCAGGCUCGUCGGCGACCUGGUUAAGGUCCUGGAGCUGGAGGAGAGGGCGAAGCUCCUCCCACGUAUUGAAGAUGAUGGUGUUGUCUUCUUCCUUCCAAUUGAUUUCCAGCAGCUUAAGAACUUGUGCGGUGGUACCAACCUCUUAGAUGCUCUCAGGGAAAAUCCUAAAGAAGCCUUGCUUUGCAUGGGAGCUGCAGUUCAUCUGGCUAAGUGCUCGGGCAAUGGCCUCCAGUUGAGCGACGUAGACAAGGUCAAUAUCAGGCUUUACAACCACACCGAGACAAUAAUUGCUUUGAAGAAUUUGAAAGCGGCCUCUAUUAAGAAACUAGUGACAGUGCGUGGUACUGUUGUAAAAGUCAGUACUGUGAAACCUCUAGUUCUGGCGCUGGAGUUUCAGUGCAUGAAGUGUGCUACAGUCAUCCGUCGUGUGUUCUCUGACGGGAAAUUUUCACCUCCGGUAUCCUGCAUAAUUCAGGGCUGCAAGGGCAGAACCUUCACCCCAGUGAGAUCUACUGCCAAGUUGAUAGAUUUUCAGAAAAUAAGGAUACAGGAGCUUUCUAGUGCUGAAAACCGUGAAGAAGGCCGAGUGCCACGAACUAUAGAAUGUGAGCUUACAGAAGAUCUUGUAGAUUGUUGCAUCCCUGGAGAGGUUGUAACGGUAGCUGGAAUCGUCAAAGUGCUGAACAACUAUAUGGAUGUUGGAGGAGGUAAGUCCAAAAGCAGAAAUCAGGGUUUAUACUACUUGUACUUGGAAGCAAUCUCAGUAAGGAACUCCAAGGCCCAUGUUGUUUCAGAAAAUUCAGAUGCAAGUUCUACUGAUAUUCUGGCUACUGGAUCCUUCAGUUUCGAAACUUUUACUGAUAAGGAUCUUAAAUUCAUCACCGAAUAUAAUAGCGAGCAUGGUGCUGAUGUAUUUCGUCAAAUACUUCACUCCUUUUGCCCCUCCAUCUAUGGGCAUGAACUUGUAAAGGCCGGUAUCACUCUCGCGCUUUUUGGUGCUGUGCAGAAGCAUUCAAUGGAUCAGAACAAAGUCCCAAUUAGAGGAGACAUCCAUGUUAUUAUUGUUGGCGAUCCAGGACUAGGCAAGAGCCAAUUACUAAAAGCUGCAGCAUCUGUUUCUCCACGGGGAAUAUAUGUAUGCGGGAAUACAACCACAAAUGCUGGUCUAACAGUUGCUGUGGUUAAAGAUUCAAUGACAAAUGAUUAUGCAUUUGAGGCUGGGGCUAUGGUUCUUGCUGACCGUGGGCUAUGUUGCAUUGAUGAGUUUGACAAAAUGUCAGCAGAGUAUCAGUCCUUACUGGAAGCCAUGGAGCAGCAGUGUGUAUCUGUGGCAAAGGCUGGCCUUGUGGCGAGUUUAUCUGCCCGCACUUCUGUGCUGGCAGCUGCUAAUCCUGUUGGUGGUCAUUACGACCGAGGCAAAACAGUGAAUGAGAAUUUAAAGAUGAAUGCUGCCCUGCUCUCUCGGUUUGACCUGGUUUUCAUUUUACUUGACCAGCCAGACUUGUUUCUAGAUAAGAGACUAUCAGACCACAUAAUGGCACUCCAUACCAAUGACAGAAGUCCUUGCUCAUCCAACAAGAGGCUAAGAACAGUGCCUCAAUUUAAUGACAGUAUGGGGAUUGGAAUUGAUGAGAAAAAAUUGGCUUCAAGGCUGAGACUACACCCAGAGAAAGAUAGGGACUUUGUUCCGUUACCCGAACCACUUCUUCGCAAGUAUAUAUCUUACGCGAGAAGCUAUGUUACCCCCCGUAUGUCAGAACCAGCAGCGGUGGUACUGCGGAAAUAUUACUUGAAUUUGAGAGCACAUAGUACUUGUUCUGAUGGCACACCCAUCACAGCCAGACAAUUGGAAAGCCUUGUGAGGUUAGCAGAAGCUCGCGCUCGGGUGGAUCUAAGAGAAGAAGUGACUGAACAAGAUGCGAAGGAUGUUGUUGAGAUCAUGAACGAAUCCUUAUAUGACAAAUAUGUUGAUGAGCAUGGUUGUGUGGACUAUGCUCGGAGUGGUGGGAUGAGCCAACAGAAGGAGGCAAAAAGACUUAUGAGUGCCUUAAACAAGCAAUCUGAGUUGCAGCAAAAGGAUCACUUUUCAAGAGCCGAGAUACGGAGCUUAGCAGAUAAAAUCAGCUUGCAAGUUCCAGAUUUAGAUGAUAUUAUGGAAAGAUUGAACAGUGCCGGUUAUAUUGUACAUAAAGGACAAAACAUAUACCAGAUAUUGACCUCAUCAUGUUCACGGACCCAGCCAACAAGGUCAAGAUGA